CACGUAGGGGGCAAGCGUUGUCCGGAUUUAUUGGGCGUAAAGAGCUCGUAGGUGGUUCGGUAAGUCGGGUGUUAAACCCCCAGGCUCAACCUGGGGACGCCACUCGAUACUGCUGUGACUAGAGUCCGGUAGGGGAGCGUGGAAUUCCUGGUGUAGCGGUGAAAUGCGCAGAUAUCAGGAGGAACACCAGCGGCGAAGGCGGCGCUCUGGGCCGGAACUGACGCUGAGGAGCGAAAGCGUGGGGAGCGAACAGG
This 254-nucleotide ribosomal RNA is filed under the name uncultured bacterium. Its description in RNAcentral is "partial 16S ribosomal RNA". It matches the Rfam family "Bacterial small subunit ribosomal RNA", at positions 524 to 776 of the family's 1533-position model. The record is from RNAcentral.